RNAcentral lists this unclassified non-coding RNA (27 nucleotides) under Mus musculus (house mouse). Its description in RNAcentral is "oocyte_clustered_small_RNA7280". The record is from RNAcentral. Lineage: Eukaryota; Metazoa; Chordata; Mammalia; Rodentia; Muridae.
UAACUAGGUCAGCGCCCUGUCAGCAAA